CACAUGUCCCCAUCCCCUCAUCCCUGUCCCCUGCCCCUGCUCUGUGUCCCAUCCUUGUCCCCAUCCCCUGCCUUGUGUCCUUGUCCCCUGGUCCCUGUCCCAUCCAUGUCCCCUGCCCCGGUGUGUGUCCUUGUCCCCUGGUCUGUGUCCCAUCCUUGUCCCCAUCCCCUGCCUUGUGUCCUUGUCCCCUGGUCCCUGUCCCAUCCGUGUCCCCCGCCCUGGUGUGUGUCCUUGUCCCCUAUUCCCUGUCCUAUCCGUGUCCCCGUCCCCUGCCACGUGUCCCCAUUCCCUGCUCCCUGUCCCAUCCCUGUCCCUGUCCCCUGCCACGUGUCCCCAUCCCCUCAUCCCUGUCCCCUGCCCCUGGUCUGUGUCCCAUCCUUGUCCCCAUCCCCUGCCUUGUGUCCUUGUCCCCUGGUCCCUGUCCUAUCUGUGUCCCCAUCCCCUGCCACAUGUCCCCAUUCCCUGCUCCCUGUCCCAUCCCCUUCUCCUGCCUCGGUGCGUGUCCUCAUCCCCUGGUCCCUGUCCCCUGCUCCUGCAGGACCAGCAGUUCUUCUCCAACCCCCCCCCGGCGCCGUGGCCCCGACUGGCCGAGGUGCUGAGCUGGCAGUUUGAGAGCGUGGCCGAGCGGGGGCUGAGCCGGGACCACCUCCUCAUGUUGGCCGAGAAGCUCUUCGGUAAGGUGGGGUGCCAGCCCCCAGCCCCCCAGCCCCCCCGGGAUGGGACAAGGGCCAUAUUGCCCCCCCCUCACCCUGCUCUCACCUCCAAGGCUCCAAGCCAUCGCCGGAGAGCGCCCUGACCUGGCCCAAAUUCUCCAAGGUGAGUGGUCCCUGUCCCCCGCCAUGGCCCCGUCCCNNNNNNNNNNGGCGUGGGGCGGCGUGGGGCAGUGUGGGGCAGUGUGGGGCAGUGUGGGGCGGUGUGGGGCGGUGUGGGGCGGUGUGGGGCUGGGGGGGAGCACCCAACCACCCCCUCUCACCUCUCUGUCCCCAGGGAACCUGCUGGAGCAGAAGAAAUACCUGAACCGGCGCCUCAUCCGCGUGUCCUCCAGGCAGGCAAAUGAGUCCUGGCAGACCGAAGAGGACUUGGUGGCUGCUACCGAAAACCUGGAGACGCUGCAGCUGCAGCCCCGUGGUGGCCCGGGGACACAGCAGGACCCACCUGGGAACCUGGGGACGCAGCAAGUGAUGGCCACGAGCCCAGGGACCCUGCAGGCCACGAGCCCGGGGACGCUGCAGCCCACGAGCCCCGGGACGCUGCAGGUGGUGGCCAUGAACCCGGGGACGCUGCAGGCGGGGUCCCAAGGCUCGGAGCCGUCCCGGCCGCUGCAGGUGGGAUCGGGGGUCUCGGAGCUGCUGCAGCCAAGGAUUGGGGACCUGCAGGCACAGGUGGUGCUGCAGCUGGUCCCCGAGGGACAGGGGACGGUGCAGGUGGGAUCGGGGGGCGUGGGGACGCUGCACGUGCUGCCCGAGGGGCUGGGGAUGGUGCAGCCGGGGGCAGGGGACGUGGGGAUGGUGCAGCCAGUGGCAGGGGACGUGGGGAUGGUGCAGCCGGGGGCAGGGGAGCCACUGCUGGUCCCCGAGGGGCAGGGGACGCUGCCACUGGAGCUGAGGGACGUGGAGCCACUGCCCGAGAGCCUGGACAUGGAGGAGCUCCUGCAGUCGCUGGCGGAGGGGUCGGGGACACUGGAGACGCUGGAGGCGCCGGAGCUGAUGCCCGAGAUGGCAGAAUCCGUGGAUUCGGGGCUGGUCCCCGGGCUGGCGAGUGAGUGUCGGGGUUUGGGGGGUCGGGGGGGGA
RNAcentral lists this long non-coding RNA (1791 nucleotides) under Calidris pugnax (ruff). Its description in RNAcentral is "lncRNA (ENSCPUG00000004915.1)". Lineage: Eukaryota; Metazoa; Chordata; Aves; Charadriiformes; Scolopacidae. The record is from RNAcentral.